This 300-nucleotide ribosomal RNA is filed under the name uncultured Bacillus sp. RNAcentral's name for it is "bacterial SSU rRNA". It matches the Rfam family "Bacterial small subunit ribosomal RNA", at positions 496 to 795 of the family's 1533-position model. Lineage: Bacteria; Bacillati; Bacillota; Bacilli; Caryophanales; Bacillaceae. The record is from RNAcentral.
GCUUACUUGGGGCCAGCGGCGGCGGUAAUACGAAGGGGGCAAACGUUGCUCGGAAUCAUUGGGCGUAAAGCGCACGUAGGCGGCAUUGCAAGUCGGAUGUGAAAGCCCUCGGCUUAACCAAGGAAGUGCAUCCGAAACUGCCGUGCUUGAGUACGAAAGAGGAUCGCGGAAUUCCCGGUGUAGAGGUGAAAUUCGUAGAUAUCGGGAGGAACACCAGUGGCGAAGGCGGCGAUCUGGGUCGAUACUGACGCUGAGGUGCGAAAGCGUGGGGAGCAAACAGGAUUAGAUACCCUUGUAGUC